RNAcentral lists this ribosomal RNA (1050 nucleotides) under Biston falcata satura. Its description in RNAcentral is "partial 16S ribosomal RNA". Lineage: Eukaryota; Metazoa; Arthropoda; Insecta; Lepidoptera; Geometridae. The record is from RNAcentral.
AUUAAUAAUUAAUAUAUUUAAUAAAAAUAAUUUUAAUUUAAUAAGUAUUUUAAUGGGGGUUAAAGUAUUUUUUAAAGAAAAAAUUUUUAAAUUUAUAGUUAAUUAGUAUUGUGAAAGAAUUUUGAAAUAUUAUGAAAAAUAAAAUUUUUAGAAAGUAAUUUUUAUUUAUUGUAUCUUGUGUAUCAGAGUUUAUUAAAAAUUUUUAAUUUAUGAAUUAAUUUCUCGAAUUUAAAAGAGUUAAAUAAUUAUUAAAGUUAUUGUAGCAAAAUUAUUUUAAAUAAUUAUUUAGAAAUGAAAUGUUAAUCGUUUUUAAAUAUAUCUAGUUUUUAUAGAAAAAAAUUUAAUUUUAAAUUUAAAAAUUAUUUAAUUAAUUUAUUAAUUAAAUAGUUACUUAAAUUUUAUAAUUUAAGGGAUAAGCUUUAAAUUAAAUUUUUAUAAUAUUAAAUUUUUAUUUUGAAAAUUUUAUAAUUUAUAUUGUUAAUAAAUUUUAUUUUGUUAUAAAUAAUUUCAUUUUUUUUAAAAUUUAAAUUUUAUUUAAUUUUUUAUAUAAAAUUUAUUUAUAAUUAUAUAAAGUUAAUUAUAAUGAUAAAAUUAGUAUAUUAUUUAAUAUUAAAUUAAAAUUAAUUUUUGAUUAAUAAUUAAAUUAAUUAAAAGGAAUUCGGCAAAUAUUUAUUUUCACUUGUUUAUCAAAAACAUGUCUUUUUGUUAUUUAAUUUAAAGUCUAAUCUGCCCACUGAUUUAUAAAAAUUGAAGGGCUGCAGUAUAUUGACUGUACAAAGGUAGCAUAAUCAUUAGUCUCUUAAUUGGUGACUUGUAUGAAAGAUUGGAUGAAMAAUAUACUGUCUCUUAAUUAAUAUAUAGAAUUUAAUUUUUUAUUUAAAAAGUUAAAAUAACUUAAAAAGACGAGAAGACCCUAUAGAGUUUAAUAAAUUAUUUUAUGAAAGUUUUAUUUAUAUUUAUUAAUAAUUUUAUAAAUUUAUUUAUUUAGUUGGGGUGAUAAAAAAAUAAAUUUAACUUUUUUUAAGUAAUUUACAUGGAUAAGUGAUUAAU